UUUUAUAUCUAUGAAGAUGUAUAUUCAAGAAAUGUUACAUUUCAGUAACCGUUAGGUAACCGGUUUUGAUUUCCGCGUUAUAUGUUACUUAAAGUGAUGUCCCGGAAAAGAAUUUUUUUUUAAAAGGAAACAAUUUUAUAUCACCAAUUCAAAAAACAAUUUACUCACUUUUCCACGUAAUAAAUAAAGAGUAUUUUUCGG
Molecule: long non-coding RNA, 201 nt
Filed under: Lupinus angustifolius (narrow-leaved blue lupine)
Lineage: Eukaryota; Viridiplantae; Streptophyta; Magnoliopsida; Fabales; Fabaceae
Description: long non-coding RNA (LANG_LNC001216)
Source: RNAcentral